GCAAUAUUACAAACAAACUUUGGAAUGGGUAGGCGGAAAAGUUCCCUUCGGAAUUGCAAAUAUCAGAGAUUAUGUAAAUACAUCCAAGAUUCCCAACGAAAAUGCUAUUAUCGAUUAUGAAGAAAAAGAAAUAGUUAAAGCAUGGUAUUCUUAAGCAAGACACCACAAAAAUGGACUAGUUUAAAUUUAUUUUACAUUUGUUCACCUAAAAAACCUUUUAUAUGGUUGGAUCAUUGGCAUAAACAUCGUCUUAACUGGUGGAGAAAGUUAUUAUAUACAAAUAUUAUGAAAAGUGUAGAUGCUGUUCAGUUUAGUAAGAAAACAGUUUGAAGCUGUCAGAUUUGCUGGAAAAGAUGAUGUAUAUCAAAUGGAGAAUGAUCAAUUCUAUUUCUAUAAUUAUAUAAUUUGUUUACAGCAUAUAAUAAUUUAUAUAUACUGCAACUAAGAACUAAGCAGCUAAUAUAAUUAAGCAGAAUUAAGAACUUAGGUUAAACAUUUAUUACAUGUUUGAUUAUUAAUAAUAAAGUUUUGAAAGCCAAAAUCCUUAAUAAAAAUGGCACUUUUAGUGAAUUAUAUUAUGCCAGCUUUUGCAUACAAGCAUGCAUUUAACAGAAGAGAAUAAUUAAGGCUUUCAGUGCGUGUUUAAUGGUACGUUUUAAAA
Centruroides sculpturatus (bark scorpion) is the source of this 661-nucleotide long non-coding RNA. RefSeq lists it as uncharacterized. The transcript has 3 exons. Lineage: Eukaryota; Metazoa; Arthropoda; Arachnida; Scorpiones; Buthidae. The record is from RefSeq and is a predicted model, not a curated record.